This is a long non-coding RNA of Seriola aureovittata, 517 nucleotides long. RefSeq lists it as uncharacterized. NCBI's taxonomy places the organism in Eukaryota, Metazoa, Chordata, Actinopteri, Carangiformes, Carangidae. The record is from RefSeq and is a predicted model, not a curated record. The transcript is spliced from 3 exons.
AGAAAGAGCUCGUGUUAGCAGCACCUGGGGGCAUCUUUGGGUUGGUGUCAUAUUUCAAAAUUGGGGCCAGUGUACCUGGACCUUUUCUGGCACAUCGUGCAUCACGAGUCUGGCACGGCACAGGGAGCCAGGAGGGUCACAUGACUGGAGGCCUCAGAUCUUGCAGCGGUGAUCGGAGUAUUGAUAAGGAGCUGUCAAAACAGAGGCAACAUGUGCUAUUGGGUCAACCAGCGUCUCAGCGGGAGCCGGGCGCAGGGAUUUCUGGGUAUUUCCAAGGAUACACUGUUACCUGAGGAGGAGGUCAGGAAAUCAAUAUAUGAAAUAUGUCAAGAGAGCCAACGGGAACACGAAGCUUCAAUAUUGUGUUUGUAUUUCUAAGAUGAUGACAUUUCAGGACUGUAUGUGAGUUCAAACACCGACUCAUUCUUUACCUAUCUCUCUCAUCUCAUCUCUGAAUCCACAGAGUGCAUCACAUCAGCUGUAGUGUUUGUGCUUUCAUGAAAAUCCAUAUAUACUC